Long non-coding RNA from Bombus pascuorum, 3640 nucleotides. RefSeq lists it as uncharacterized. Lineage: Eukaryota; Metazoa; Arthropoda; Insecta; Hymenoptera; Apidae. The record is from RefSeq and is a predicted model, not a curated record. The transcript is spliced from 3 exons.
UCAUCCCCACCACUGCGUCGCUCUCGAUUCACCCCCAUUCCUGUGCCGCGCACCUCCAGCGCCACCACCCAAAGCAUCGCCAAGACCUCGUAUAGGGAACCUACAGCCUAGCCAUUAUACCUCACUAUACUUCUUUCCAAUCGUUCCUGUAUCUUCAAGUAUCAGUUAUAAUAGUAGAUUUAAUAAGAACUAUUGGAAUUAUGUAUCGAAUACAUAGAUUCUUUUAGUUGCGGGAUUUCGUUACUAGUCUGUCUCUUUGUUACCAGUUAAGACAUCGUACAAGGGCGUCUAGGCGAUUGCCACCAAGGUAUCACGCUUGUUUCCACAAAUUACUAUAUCUACAAAUAACAGUUUUAGUACGUAGAUUUGCGCUAACGAUGAUCAGAGUCGAACAUUAGAAUUCUUAGAUUAUUUAAUUAUAGAGUUCUGUAGCAGUCAAAGGCCUGUGCCAAAGCUUGCAUUUAGGAGCAAUUAGUAGGAAAUCUCGUAAAUAAUUAAAUCCACGCUUUCACAUUCUAUUUAUCCCGAUUGUUACAUGGCACGCAGUAAGCGUUUUUACGGAGUAAAUAACACAUCGAUUCGACUCUGAUGCAAUCCCUACACCCUUACGACUCCGCCUAUGUAUUACAGAUUAUGCUAUCGACCAUGAGCUUAAGGUUCAUAUAUUACUUAUUUUUCGCCGCAAAAAUUUCAGCAUAUUUAAAGCCGUCGAAAAUCCUGUCAACCAUGGUUGUACAAAUUUUCCUACGGCCAAAUUGCUGGAAAACUCGCAAGGGUGAGGAAGGAGCGUGGCCGUCGCUUCGCGGAUCCCCGCAACCCCUCCGCCGCGACCAACCACCACUCCCCGUGGCACCGUUCGAACCCCUAGCCUAGAGAUGCCCGUUUCUACCUCCAAACACCACGGCGCACGCUCCGACGUCGCCUCAGUGACUCUCAACUACCUUUCACCAUGUCUGCGAUAUUCUCUUCCGUCUGCACGUCGCUCCCUGGGGAAAUUUUUCGGCGAGAAGUGUGCCGUGACAGAGGGUUAAUUGGGCAAGACCAAGAAAUACUGGCCUCGCCGAGUCGAUCGUGCUUCCGUGGCGCUGCGAACGGGAUUACCGUGUCGCGAUCUAUGAUAGACGAUGGUUUAAUGGCUCUGGGGACGCUUCUUCGUGAACUGGGACAAUCCUAGGUGAAUUAAGAAUUUAGUGUUUUACGGUGGAAUCGAAGAAGGAGGAUUGUUAGAGUACAUUCUAGAAUUUUACAUUUGGCAUGGUGUUGCUGUUUGUGAAUGAUAAUAUCGGGGCUUUGAUGUAUAGGCGAAGAGGAUUGAUGUAUAGGAUUUUACUUUUUUAUGCAGUGCAUUGUUGUUCGUAAGAGAAAUGUAAGGGAAGUGGGACGAUAUCGGAUGAGUUAAGAAUUUACUGUUUAGUGUCUGAGACGGUGGAGUUAUUUAUUAUAUAUGUAUUAUUAAUAAAAGUAUCGUUGGUAUUUUGUACAUUAAAGAAUAAGAAAGAAGAUUCUAUCAUAGGGAUUGAUGUUUGUUAAAGGAAAUUCGAUUCGAUCCAGCAGACAAUACAGCAGGCUCCUCAGUUUCCGCAAGUGGGACAGCUAUUAUUUGCAAUAUCUAUCUUACUUUUUACAAAAAAAGACAUUGCUUUUUAUACGGCGAAGAAGGAAAGUCGUUUGUCAAAGAAAAUCCAAUUUAAUCCAAACGGCAGAACAGAAGGAUCUUAAAUUUUCCAAAAGUGGAUCUGCUUACAAUUUACAUUUUAGUUUCUACAAGAAACUUCGUUUUAUAUCAUUUAACUUAUAAAUAGAAGAAUAAAUAUACAUAAAGGAAAAAAGAAAAAGAACGAGAUCGGUGUUCAUCACAGAAAAUCUGCUCCACGAGCGAUCCACGAAACAGUAGAGAAGGUUCCUAAAUUUCCGGAAGUAGGACACCUACAUAUAUUUCUAACCUCCAUUCUAUUCUUUCCUCUUUCAACGAAUAUUGCUUAUUUAUAAAUCGUAGAAUAAACGGCGAAGGAAAGGAUUCGAUAAAGAAAAUCCGAUUAGUAUCAAGAGACUAGUAAAGAAGGUUCGUAAAAUUUUUAGACGACAAAAGGAAAGACUGAGCAAGAAUGAGAACCACUGAAACGCGAUCCGUGCUACUGGGCUACGCGCCACACGGCGCUUUGGCCGACCGACCGACUCUACUCGCACACGAUCCUCCUUCUCCCUCCACCGUUAUCCGGCUCGCACUCUCUGUCUCUCUUUGUCUCUCUCAUUUUCUACGUUUCUCUACGCUGUACCGGUUCCCUGCCUCGCUACGCCAUGCAAAUCUUCCGUCUUGCACGUUAUGAGGAACGAGCCCUGUCUCUUCUUCCGAGUUUAACCGGAGACCACGUCGCGAUCCAAGGGAUCCCGUUUCCUGUUCGUUCUUCGGGAUGAUCGAGCGGCCUGCAUUAUUCCACGCCUUGCAUUACGGCCACGAGCUUCUAAUCAUCAGUUUACAACCACCAUUUCCACCAUGAAAUUUAGAAUCGGAAAAUCGUCGAAAAUUUGAAAGGAAAAGCGAUCCUGAAAUAUUUUAGCGAGAAAGUUAGGGACAAAUAACACUGAAUAUUUUAGAAAUUUGGAAGAGGAAGCCAGGCAGAUAAGAUUGAUAAUUCAUUAGAAUUUGAAUAAAAAUGCCAGACAAAUAAGGAAGGAAAAUGAGGAAGCUAGAAAAGUAAAAUAAAGUUGGGAAUCCUCGAGAAUUUGGGAGAAAAAGAUACUCAUAUAACAUUGAAAAUCGUGUGAAAUGUCGGAAGAAAGUUAGAGAAAUAAAAUCGAAGGUAUUUGAAAAUUUAUAAAAACGUGACAAACAAAAUUUGAUAGAAAGCAUAUCAUAAAUUGAUCGUGCUUCGUGCCAAAAGAAAAAAGAAUAAUUCCUGAGAAGCUUUGAACAAGAGUGAAUUCUUUGUUAGGAUGAUUUGAUACAAGUGGAAAUUUUCCAAAGCAAUUUGCGAACAUCCUCUCUGUAUUGCCUUCUAUUGCUCCUGUUUUCAUUAGCCUGGUCAGCAGAAGGUUUGUAAAGAUAUCGUUGAAAGAGAAGGAAUAAAGGUAGAGACGAGACACAGGGGCUGCAGACAGAUAACCACUCGACGACUCGAAUGCAACGGGGAAUGAACGACGGGGGAAAAAAGGAGAGAACAAGCGUCGUAAGCCUUUCGAUAGCUACGACUCGUCGUCCAUAGUCACAGAUCGAUACUUCAAACUGGUCUUGCAUUUGCAGAUGAAGAAUAAGAGAAACUGUUGUUCCACUUUGUUACCAUUUUACUUGUCACUUUUGUAAACUAAGAUCACGGUACGAUGUCUACGGGUUCAACAGAGCACCGGCAAGGCAAACUCCGAAGCUAUCCGAAAAUUACCAUGCAACCAGCAAAUUGACUCCAAGGGGCCACAUCUUUAACGAGUUACCGGAAAUUAAAAUUCCAAAUUCAACUGCUCUCGAAAAACUAUUCGAAUCUCUAUGUUACGCUGCUUAAAAUUCGCCACACUGUGUGACAUUGUAGAAUGUAUUGUAUAAUAUGAUGAUUAUACUUUUAUGAGGCUCGUCUUGCGCGUAAUAUGAUUUAUUCUCUUAUGGUAGGUACGUUAGAUGAAAAUAAACAAAUUACGUGUUAACACUAAA